Molecule: ribosomal RNA, 292 nt
Filed under: uncultured bacterium
Lineage: Bacteria
Description: partial 16S ribosomal RNA
Rfam family: Bacterial small subunit ribosomal RNA
Source: RNAcentral
GUGCCAGCAGCCGCGGUAAUACGGGGGGUGCAAGCGUUAUUCGGAAUCAUUGGGCGUAAAGGGCGCGUAGGCGGCCCCUUAAGUCAGAUGUGAAAGCCCUCAGCUUAACUGAGGAAGUGCAUUUGAAACUAAGGGGCUUGAGUAUGGGAGAGGGAAGCGGAAUUCCUGGUGUAGCGGUGAAAUGCGUAGAUAUCAGGAGGAACACCGGUGGCGAAGGCGGCUUCCUGGACCAAUACUGACGCUGAGGCGCGAAGGCGUGGGGAGCAAACAGGAUUAGAUACCCCCGUAGUCC